This 718-nucleotide long non-coding RNA is filed under the name Physcomitrium patens. Its description in RNAcentral is "long non-coding RNA (PPAT_LNC011894)". The record is from RNAcentral. Lineage: Eukaryota; Viridiplantae; Streptophyta; Bryopsida; Funariales; Funariaceae.
AUUUUUUUUAAAGUAAUUUUUGCUAAAAUCAACUAAUCAAUCCAUCUUAAAUAUGUUUAUAUUCUUUUUUUUUAAUCUACCUUAUUUUUUCUUAUUUAUGGCCAUAUAAAAUAAAUAAAAUCUAAUUCUAUAAAAAGUAAUUUUAAUACUACAAGAUUUUAUUACUUGUCAAGGUCAUAAAUCUUAAAAAAAGAAAUCCUCAAUAUACUCUUGUAUUACUGAAAAUGACUAAAAAGCUACUAAAAGAUGAUAUAAUAUUGAACCAAAAUGACUAUUGCCAAAAAUAAGAGGACUCAAAAGUCUUGAAAUAAGACUAAGGACUAAAAAGGCAUUGUCAAGAGUGAAGAAGGCUUCACCCUUGCUUCUAUAUACUCUUAACUAGGAGCUAUGUGAUAAUAUCUUAUAAGACCUCCAAAAUGUGUUGACUUUGUAAGACAUGUAUCUUAACUUGCAAGUCAAGUUUUCUAUAAUUAGCUUUUUCUGCAAGCUAUCGAUAUGUGGUUAACUUAUUGACCAAGUUUUUAACCUAUCAAUCAACUAUAAAUACAUUUAAAGUCAUAGCAACAUCUAUGAAGCUUCUUUAAAAGGUAUUAUGAAAUUAAUAUACUUUUAUCUAUUUUUACCUACUUCUACAUAAUUGUAUAGGUAUUUACUAGAAUACAUAUGUAUAUUUGUGACAUUACCUCUCCUUCUAAGGAUAAGUUUCAUGAAGAAUAGU